GCCCGGCUAGCUCAAUGGCAGAGCGCGAGACUUUUAACCUAUUUCAUAAGGUCGGAAUCUUGAGGUUGCGGGUUCGACCCCCGCGUCGGGCU
Molecule: non-coding RNA, 92 nt
Organism: Diatrype stigma
Lineage: Eukaryota; Fungi; Ascomycota; Sordariomycetes; Xylariales; Diatrypaceae
Source: the annotation of a GenBank genome assembly